Long non-coding RNA from Fukomys damarensis (Damara mole-rat), 583 nucleotides. RefSeq lists it as uncharacterized. The transcript has 3 exons. NCBI's taxonomy places the organism in Eukaryota, Metazoa, Chordata, Mammalia, Rodentia, Bathyergidae. The record is from RefSeq and is a predicted model, not a curated record.
AAUCACGACAGGGGCCUCAUAUGAAGUCAAGAAAAGGUGGAGCUGAGGAAGUGUGAAUUCAUGGAGACCAGAGGAGCCAGAGUUGGGGCACAUUCUGGAACUAUCCUUUGCCUGCUGUGACUUUGAGCAUUUCCUCUUUCAGAAAACAAACAUAAGAACACCUACUUGCGGAAUUACUGUGGACUAUAAAAUUAGGCCAGGGUCUGGGACCAUCUGCGUGCUUAGGAGACAAGAAUGAGAAAUCUGUCAAGUUCUGUGAAAAAUGUAGCAAUAUAGUAACAGCGAGAGAAUGACUAAAAGCAAACACUGAUGGCAGAAUCUUAGUCCAUCCUAAUGGUGUGAGGCUUGAAGUAAAAGGAAGCAAAGUAAAAGAAGACUGCCGUGUUGUGAGAACAGUGAAGCAGCCGACUGGGGAGAAACUGAGGCUUCCUGUUAGCAGCACCAACAUUCCAGGCACAUGUGUGAACUUUCCUGGGAACUGAUCUGCCAGUUCAGUGAAACUCUCAGAUGACUGCAGCCAACAUCCACCUGAACCUCACAGGAAAACUCACUGUCCGGCUAACUCCUGAACACUUGGCCCCCC